Molecule: non-coding RNA, 242 nt
Organism: Pelobates cultripes (western spadefoot toad)
Lineage: Eukaryota; Metazoa; Chordata; Amphibia; Anura; Pelobatidae
Source: the annotation of a GenBank genome assembly
AUAGAUUAUUCGGUUGGAUCCACGAGCUGGCCUUACAUCUCGCUCAUGUACGUUACAUCAUCAUAUCAUUAGGUGCUAGGUAUCUGCGAUUUACUACACAACCUCCUACUUAUGGCUGAAUGUUACAUUGCUACAUAUCCUGUUAGGCAGAACAGGAUAUCUACUUUUACAUAACAUACCACAAUUCCUACUAUAUCUCAUUGCCCCUGUAGGUCUGUGCCAAUCCACCUUCUGUGUCAUAC